AGUGCAUAAAUAAGAGAGGGCAACACUUAUUCAGAAUGAAGAAAUAACCAAAAUCCGGCGCGAAAGUCCCAAUCUCCCUCGGGAGAAAUUGGAACUGACAACCUGAAUCGGCUAUUUUUGAGUACUCCCCGUCGUGGGU
Molecule: non-coding RNA, 139 nt
Organism: Caenorhabditis elegans
Lineage: Eukaryota; Metazoa; Nematoda; Chromadorea; Rhabditida; Rhabditidae
Source: Ensembl